This 498-nucleotide ribosomal RNA is filed under the name uncultured bacterium. RNAcentral's name for it is "partial 16S ribosomal RNA". It matches the Rfam family "Bacterial small subunit ribosomal RNA", at positions 28 to 523 of the family's 1533-position model. The record is from RNAcentral.
GAUGAACGCUAGCGGCAGGCCUAAUACAUGCAAGUCGGACGGGAUUGAGAAGCUUGCUUUUCAUGAGAGUGGCGCACGGGUGCGUAACACGUAUAUAACCUACCUUAAUCAGGGGGAUAGCCUCUCGAAAGAGAGAUUAACACCGCAUAAAAUCAAUUUAUGGCAUCAUAGAAUGAUCAAAUAUUUAUAGGAUUAAGAUGGGCAUGCGGAACAUUAGCUAGUUGGUAAGGUAACGGCUUACCAAGGCUACGAUGUUUAGGGGAUCUGAGAGGAUGACCCCCCACACUGGUACUGAGACACGGACCAGACUCCUACGGGAGGCAGCAGUAAGGAAUAUUGGUCAAUGGGCGCAAGCCUGAACCAGCCAUGCCGCGUGCAGGAAGACGGCCCUACGGGUUGUAAACUGCUUUUGUACCGGAAUAAACCUUUGUAUGUAUACGAAGCUGAAUGUACGGUAAGAAUAAGGAUCGGCUAACUCCGUGCCAGCAGCCGCGGUAA